GACGAACGCUGGCGGCGUGCUUAACACAUGCAAGUCGAACGGAAAGGCCCUGCUUUUGUGGGGUGCUCGAGUGGCGAACGGGUGAGUAACACGUGAGUAACCUGCCCUUGACUUUGGGAUAACUUCAGGAAACUGGGGCUAAUACCGGAUAGGAGCUCCUGCUGCAUGGUGGGGGUUGGAAAGUUUCGGCGGUUGGGGAUGGACUCGCGGCUUAUCAGCUUGUUGGUGGGGUAGUGGCUUACCAAGGCUUUGACGGGUAGCCGGCCUGAGAGGGUGACCGGCCACAUGUGGAUAGAGAAACGGCCAAGGCCCAUAGGGGGGGGAGGAGGGGGAAAUAUACCAAAAAGGGCGGAAGCGUGGGGGAACAACGCCGGGUGGGGAAGGACGGCAUUUGGGUUGAAAACCGAUUUCGCGUGUAACGAAGCGUGGGGAAGGGAAAUGGAGAAAAAGGCACCGGUAACUUCCGG
RNAcentral lists this ribosomal RNA (467 nucleotides) under uncultured bacterium. RNAcentral's name for it is "partial 16S ribosomal RNA". It matches the Rfam family "Bacterial small subunit ribosomal RNA", at positions 28 to 507 of the family's 1533-position model. The record is from RNAcentral.